GUGACUGCGUACCUUUUGUAUAAUGGGUCAGCGACUUAUAUUCUGUAGCAAGGUUAACCGAAUAGGGGAGCCGGAGGGAAACCGAGUCUUAACCGGGCGUUAAGUUGCAGGGUAUAGACCCGAAACCCGGUGAUCUAGCCAUGGGCAGGUUGAAGGUUGGGUAACACUAACUGGAGGACCGAACCGACUAAUGUUGAAAAAUUAGCGGAUGACCUGUGGCUGGGGGUGAAAGGCCAAUCAAACCGGGAGAUAGCUGGUUCUCCCCGAAAGCUAUUUAGGUAGCGCCUCGUGAAUUCAUCUCCGGGGGUAGAGCACUGUUUCGGCUAGGGGGCCAUCCCGGCUUACCAACCCGAUGCAAACUGCGAAUACCGGAGAAUGUUAUCACGGGAGACACACGGCGGGUGCUAACGUCCGUCGUGAAGAGGGAAACAACCCAGACCGCCAGCUAAGGUCCCAAAGUCAUGGUUAAGUGGGAAACGAUGUGGGAAGGCCCAGACAGCCAGGAUGUUGGCUUAGAAGCAGCCAUCAUUUAAAGAAAGCGUAAUAGCUCACUGGUCGAGUCGGCCUGCGCGGAAGAUGUAACGGGGCUAAACCAUGCACCGAAGCUGCGGCAGCGACACUGUGUGUUGUUGGGUAGGGGAGCGUUCUGUAAGCCUGUGAAGGUGUGUCGUGAGGCAUGCUGGAGGUAUCAGAAGUGCGAAUGCUGACAUAAGUAACGAUAAAGCGGGUGAAAAGCCCGCUCGCCGGAAGACCAAGGGUUCCUGUCCAACGUUAAUCGGGGCAGGGUGAGUCGACCCCUAAGGCGAGGCCGAAAGGCGUAGUCGAUGGGAAACGGGUUAAUAUUCCCGUACUUGGUGUUACUGCGAAGGGGGGACGGAGAAGGCUAUGUUGGCCGGGCGACGGUUGUCCCGGUUUAAGCGUGUAGGUGUGUGUUCCAGGUAAAUCCGGUUCACUUUAACACUGAGGCGUGACGACGAGGCACUACGGUGCUGAAGCAACAAAUGCCCUGCUUCCAGGAAAAGCCUCUAAGCAUCAGGUAACAUCAAAUCGUACCCCAAACCGACACAGGUGGUCAGGUAGAGAAUACCAAGGCGCUUGAGAGAACUCGGGUGAAGGAACUAGGCAAAAUGGUGCCGUAACUUCGGGAGAAGGCACGCUGACACGUAGGUGAAGUGAUUUACUCAUGGAGCUGAAGUCAGUCGAAGAUACCAGCUGGCUGCAACUGUUUAUUAAAAACACAGCACUGUGCAAACACGAAAGUGGACGUAUACGGUGUGACGCCUGCCCGGUGCCGGAAGGUUAAUUGAUGGGGUCAGCGCAAGCGAAGCUCCUGAUCGAAGCCCCGGUAAACGGCGGCCGUAACUAUAACGGUCCUAAGGUAGCGAAAUUCCUUGUCGGGUAAGUUCCGACCUGCACGAAUGGCGUAAUGAUGGCCAGGCUGUCUCCACCCGAGACUCAGUGAAAUUGAACUCGCUGUGAAGAUGCAGUGUACCCGCGGCAAGACGGAAAGACCCCGUGAACCUUUACUAUAGCUUGACACUGAACAUUGAGCCUUGAUGUGUAGGAUAGGUGGGAGGCUUUGAAGUGUGGACGCCAGUCUGCAUGGAGCCGACCUUGAAAUACCACCCUUUAAUGUUUGAUGUUCUAACGUGGACCCGUUACCCGGGUUGCGGACAGUGUCUGGUGGGUAGUUUGACUGGGGCGGUCUCCUCCUAAAGAGUAACGGAGGAGCACGAAGGUUGGCUAAUCCUGGUCGGACAUCAGGAGGUUAGUGCAAUGGCAUAAGCCAGCUUGACUGCGAGCGUGACGGCGCGAGCAGGUGCGAAAGCAGGUCAUAGUGAUCCGGUGGUUCUGAAUGGAAGGGCCAUCGCUCAACGGAUAAAAGGUACUCCGGGGAUAACAGGCUGAUACCGCCCAAGAGUUCAUAUCGACGGCGGUGUUUGGCACCUCGAUGUCGGCUCAUCACAUCCUGGGGCUGAAGUAGGUCCCAAGGGUAUGGCUGUUCGCCAUUUAAAGUGGUACGCGAGCUGGGUUUAGAACGUCGUGAGACAGUUCGGUCCCUAUCUGCCGUGGGCGCUGGAGAACUGAGGGGGGCUGCUCCUAGUACGAGAGGACCGGAGUGGACGCAUCACUGGUGUUCGGGUUGUCAUGCCAAUGGCACUGCCCGGUAGCUAAAUGCGGAAGAGAUAAGUGCUGAAAGCAUCUAAGCACGAAACUUGCCCCGAGAUGAGUUCUCCCUGAGACUUAGAGUCUCCUGAAGGAACGUUGAAGACGACGACGUUGAUAGGCCGGGUGUGUAAGCGCAGCGAUGCGUUGAGCUAACCGGUACUAAUGAACCGUGAGGCUUAACCUUAC
RNAcentral lists this ribosomal RNA (2355 nucleotides) under Salmonella enterica subsp. enterica serovar Enteritidis str. CDC_2010K_1594. RNAcentral's name for it is "bacterial LSU rRNA". It matches the Rfam family "Bacterial large subunit ribosomal RNA", at positions 593 to 2925 of the family's 2925-position model. RNAcentral also lists the same sequence under 3 other names. The record is from RNAcentral. Lineage: Bacteria; Pseudomonadati; Pseudomonadota; Gammaproteobacteria; Enterobacterales; Enterobacteriaceae.